ACUGUUUUAAUAUUUUUUUUUUUUCAUUUGCAAUAAGUCAUAUUUGAAAAGGCAGUCACAAGCACCAAAUUUGUAGCCCCUUCAAUCCUUCACCAUCACAGACAGUAACAGUGACUGGAAGCCUGCCUUACAUCUGUACUGGAAAAUGGCAAUUGCAUGUAUGAUUUAUCUUAGCAACUCUAUUACAGUAAAGUGAAUUUCUUCUCAGUACUGAUCCCCAUCUCAGAGGCAGCAGUACAUUUCA
Molecule: unclassified non-coding RNA, 244 nt
Filed under: Hevea brasiliensis (rubber tree)
Lineage: Eukaryota; Viridiplantae; Streptophyta; Magnoliopsida; Malpighiales; Euphorbiaceae
Source: RNAcentral